CAGCGCCACGAGUGGGGAUCCUGUUUAUUUGGCCUAAAGCGUCCGUAGCUGGUUUAGUAAAUCUCUUGUGAAAUCGUUGGGCUUAACCCAGCGGCGUGCAGGAGAGACUGCUAAACUAGGGACUGGGAGGAGUAAGAGGUAUGCUGGGGGGAGCGGUAAAAUGCUAUAAUCCUCAGUAGACCACCUAUGGCGAAGGCAUCUUACUAGAACAGGUCCGACAGUGAGGGACGAAAGCCAGGGGAGCAAACCGGAUUAGAUACCCGAGUAGUCC
RNAcentral lists this ribosomal RNA (271 nucleotides) under uncultured archaeon. Its description in RNAcentral is "partial 16S ribosomal RNA". It matches the Rfam family "Archaeal small subunit ribosomal RNA", at positions 477 to 747 of the family's 1478-position model. The record is from RNAcentral.